Molecule: non-coding RNA, 81 nt
Organism: Tephrocybe sp. NHM501043
Lineage: Eukaryota; Fungi; Basidiomycota; Agaricomycetes; Agaricales; Lyophyllaceae
Source: the annotation of a GenBank genome assembly
GGCGCUAUAGUGUAGUGGUUAUCACUCGGGAUUUUGAUCAUCAUAUUUCCCGUAACCCAGGUUCGAACCCUGGUAGUGCCU